RNAcentral lists this unclassified non-coding RNA (343 nucleotides) under Hevea brasiliensis (rubber tree). Lineage: Eukaryota; Viridiplantae; Streptophyta; Magnoliopsida; Malpighiales; Euphorbiaceae. The record is from RNAcentral.
AACUGAAAAUUUUGCAGUUCUACCUGGGCCUAAGUUUAUCUCAAUUGUACAACAAAUUUCUAAGUGUGAACCUUUAGUCCAGAACAAAGGCUUCGCAGACAUGAAAACCCCACCAGAUGGAAAAUAUCUCUCUAUUUAUAUCUCUAUCUAUUGAAUCUAAGAAAUGUACACAAGAUUCAGCUUAUUAGUCUUUUUCUCCCUCCCUUCUUUGAAUUAUAAAUUGGCAAGAAAAGCUUGCCUUCUUCUCUAUUAUUGAUGAUUAUCUUAUGGGAAGAUCAAUAAGCCUAACUAGAGUGAUCCCUCGAUCUGCGUUGCAGAAAGAAAGAGAUGAGAAAGGAAGGAG